GAUGAACGCUGGCGGCGUGCCUAAUACAUGCAAGUCGAGCGAACGGACGAGACGCUUGCUUCUCUGAUGUUAGCGGCGGACGGGUGAGUAACACGUGGAUAACCUACCUAUAAGACUGGGAUAACUUCGGGAAACCGGAGCUAAUACCGGAUAAUAUUUUGAACCGCAUGGUUCAAAAGUGAAAGACGGUCUUGCUGUCACUUAUAGAUGGAUCCGCGCUGCAUUAGCUAGUUGGUAAGGUAACGGCUUACCAAGGCAACGAUGCAUAGCCGAACUGAGAGGGUGAUCGGCCACACUGGAACUGAGACACGGUCAAGACGCCUACGGGAGGCAGCAGUAGGGUAUCUUCCGCAAUGGGCGAAAGCCUGACGGAGCAACGCCGCGUGAGUGAUGAAGGUCUUCGGAUCGUAAAAAUCUGUUAUUAGGGAAGAACAUAUGUGUAAGUAAAUGUGCACAGCUUGACGGUACCUAAUCAGAAAGCCACGGCUAACUACGUG
Molecule: ribosomal RNA, 497 nt
Filed under: uncultured bacterium
Lineage: Bacteria
Description: partial 16S ribosomal RNA
Rfam family: Bacterial small subunit ribosomal RNA
Source: RNAcentral